Molecule: long non-coding RNA, 219 nt
Filed under: Prunus persica (peach)
Lineage: Eukaryota; Viridiplantae; Streptophyta; Magnoliopsida; Rosales; Rosaceae
Description: long non-coding RNA (PPER_LNC004747)
Source: RNAcentral
UCAAAGUGUGUUGCCUUCGGCAAGAGCGCUUGGAGUUAGGCCUUCGGCAAUUUUUUGACUUAGAACCAUGAUUUUGGUGGCCCUUCGUUCAAUUGCCCAGUUCUUACCGUUCGGCAGCCUUGUGAGCACAGGCUGUGAACUCGUUUCGGCAACACUAGUAAUUGGAGCUGGCCCUCGUGCUAUGAGGACUUGGAGCCAUGAUUUUUUUUUAGUCUUCCC